GUGGUGGUAACCUUGGUGCUGCCUCAAGGCCACCAUCUUGUCCUCCUGCUCCUCCCCCUCCCCCUCAACCUCCUGCACCCCUUUCACGUACUAGCUUAGUCUCGUCACCUGCACCUCCACCCCCACCCCCAGCACCGAGGCCUCCAGCCCCUCCUCCAGUACCUGGCCGUGCUGGUCCACCCCCACUGCCUGGAACAAACCGUGCCAGUGUGCCACCGCCUCCACCUCCUGGCAUUGGUAGGGCCAGAACU
This 251-nucleotide long non-coding RNA is filed under the name Linum usitatissimum (flax). Its description in RNAcentral is "long non-coding RNA (LUSI_LNC000565)". Lineage: Eukaryota; Viridiplantae; Streptophyta; Magnoliopsida; Malpighiales; Linaceae. The record is from RNAcentral.